RNAcentral lists this ribosomal RNA (312 nucleotides) under Litchfieldia stipae. RNAcentral's name for it is "Bacillus sp. PS06 Bacterial small subunit ribosomal RNA". It matches the Rfam family "Bacterial small subunit ribosomal RNA", at positions 1 to 303 of the family's 1533-position model. Lineage: Bacteria; Bacillati; Bacillota; Bacilli; Caryophanales; Bacillaceae. The record is from Rfam by way of RNAcentral.
UUUUUGGAGAGUUUGAUCCUGGCUCAGGAUGAACGCUGGCGGCGUGCCUAAUACAUGCAAGUCGAGCGGAUCUUAGGGAGCUUGCUCCCUAAGAUUAGCGGCGGACGGGUGAGUAACACGUGGGCAACCUGCCUAUAAGACUGGGAUAACUUCGGGAAACCGGAGCUAAUACCGGAUAAUAAAUAGAACCACAUGGUUCUAUUUUAAAAGAUGGUUUCGGCUAUCACUUAUAGAUGGGCCCGCGGCGCAUUAGCUAGUUGGUGAGGUAACGGCUCACCAAGGCGACGAUGCGUAGCCGACCUGAGAGGGUGA